Molecule: long non-coding RNA, 377 nt
Organism: Peromyscus maniculatus bairdii (prairie deer mouse)
Lineage: Eukaryota; Metazoa; Chordata; Mammalia; Rodentia; Cricetidae
Source: RefSeq, a predicted model, not a curated record
AUUACAUCUUUAUUUACCUUCAAUUGUUGCGGUCUCCGGAUCAACAACUGAGUUGCUGUGCCAAGAUGCAUCAAAUAGAAAGCACUUGGUGAUGACUGCCUGAAAUAUUUUGUUGCCUUUCAGAUACAUCUGUUCUGCUUUUCACCAGAGCCUGAUGAUGAUACAAAUGAGUUCACACACGUAAGGAAGUGUACUCACUUGAAGAAGAAGAUACAAGUCAGUUUAGUGUUCGUCUACAUGUGUUCGUGGAAACUGAUGAUAUUGGGAAAGGGGGGGGGGAGAGAAAUGCAUCAGGCUGCAGCUGGCAACACAUUGCUCCCACUGCUGAGACGCUCUGUUAAGAUGCCCACAACAUUUGGAUCUCUGCACUCUCCAAU